Dermacentor andersoni is the source of this 4053-nucleotide non-coding RNA. NCBI's taxonomy places the organism in Eukaryota, Metazoa, Arthropoda, Arachnida, Ixodida, Ixodidae. The record is from RefSeq and is a predicted model, not a curated record.
UGAAUGGUGCAGCAUAUAAACAUAAAAUAUUGCACGAGAUUGAAAUUGUGACCAUUGUGGUGGAUGAACAUAUACAGUGUGCGGGAUUAAGGGGUGCACAAGAUGAAAGUAAGCACAAUUGUAUGCAUCGCCGUUUGAUGUAUAGCAUUUGUUGACACGCUUCGCAUAAGCUUCGCUUCACAUAGAUACCAAAAAGUGCAUAGGAUUUGCAUAUUUCCUUCGUCUGUCAUGCAUCAGAUAUUUCAGAGUGUGAAUUUGGGCUCACGGAUCCAUUUCGGGUUGUACAGCAGCGUGACAAUUCAGGAAACAAAAUUCGAUGCCAAAACGUUGACUUUUCUGUACUUUCCUUCUUUUCGUCUGCCGUGUUUUGUUUAUUUAUAAGCCAAUGACAUUUAUUCUGCAGCUUUCAGAGAAAAGUCAUCAAUUGCUAGUAAAGACGUGUUUAGUUUCUGCAGUUCAUCUUGCUACUCCAGAAACAAUGUUAUCCUAAUUAAUAUUAUUUCUCAUUCUUACGAUGAGCGUAGCCAAGCGGUCGCAGUUGCGAAAUUGGGACAGUCGAACGAGUAGAAAUGUCAGAGGAAUCAAACAGGGGUCUAGUUGUACUUUUCAGCUCUUGCGACAUUGUAAAGCAGAAGCGUUGCUGUAUACAUUUGAGUGGUUUAGACGAUGCAUUAUAGUUAUCCUGAUAUUCACGCAACACUGGGCUCUCUGUUGGUCGAGGUGUUGUGACUGCGUCACCAUUCUAAGUGGGUCGGAAAAGACAUUAGGAGUUUGCUAGUUGGUAACAUUAUGCAAAUAUUCUGACAGUGCAAAAAUUGGCAAAUACAAGCGAUGCGCGCGGACACAAGGGAAAUUUAAUACAAAUAAUUAAAAAUGUACGAUAUAACCCUACAACAUCAUUCUGGGAUACCAUAACAACUUGUGCGCGAGAUCAGCCUUAUCCACGCUCACGCUCGGCAAGAGAAACCGGCAAAUCUCCUUUCUGCACAAGUAUUUGUCGCUUUUGUUAGUUGUUGCUCAGCUUGACCGCAUCAGUUCGAUCGGUUACCCAUUGCACUUCAUAGCGUCAGGCGCCAAAGGUGACCUUGAAAAAUGGAACCAAUAAAUAUAUAAAGCCAACCCUCAGGAAAGAAAUUAUGGCAGUCACCAUCCUCAUAACCAUCACCAGCAGCGCAUUUAUGAUGUUCUACCAAUGAUUUUCAAUAACCAUUGACUUCUGCCAUGUGAUUACAUCGUAUGUUUUCAAACUUCCUUACGCCGCUAAUUCCUUGCCGUAAAAGACAUGCGGUGGUUGGGUUUGUAAUGCGUUAGUAUCGCAUGGGUUCCGUUACGAUGUCCCGUCAGUAAUUGCGGUAUCAUGGCCCUUAUACAGAACAUACUAUUUCACUUUUUGUUCCUCCGUUUUGAUUUUUCCCCUCUUAUGAGACAUAAUGCUUAUCCUCGCCUUUUCCAGAAUGACACAUUUGGUCGGAGUUGGUGCAAUGUUCCUGUGCUUCACUUGCGUUUACCUGUGUUUACUAUACCGUCCAUCAUAAACUGUCCAGCAGCAUAUUAAUCUCUAACGUCUUGAAAGAAAACAAGCUGGCCUUGCUGUGUCUGGGGCUAUACACGUAGGUGAAUAACUGUCAUUGAGCCGCGAGCGGCCAGUGGCUCGGGAGCAACAUGGGGAGUGAUCACCUCUCAGGGCGAUCACGCUCAGAGGCGAUCACACCGGAUCUGUGCGAGUAUACGGCUGAAAGCUCUUCUGGAUCUGCGCUAAGCUAUCUGAGACUGAGUAUUCCAGACAUGCAAGGUGCACUGCUGAUGAGAAGGGGAAAAAAAACCGCUAAAUCGCUUCACGGUGCUCCCCUCCGCCACAUGUAUAUUUGUGCAGCGGUACGCACAACAACAGGCGGCAGAGGGCAAAUCUAUUUAGAAGGAAGACUCGGAAAGAAGGAUCACGCGGUGCAGCAUAAUAUGAACCGUGCAAUAAAUUCAACAACGUCGAACUGUCGGCAAAAAUUACAAAUAAGAGAGUAAUAACGACAGGAAAAAGCACAAAAGGAAUAACUAACGAAAGAUGUCUCGAAACGAAUUAUAAGAAAUUUCACGGAUCGAGCUGUGAGAUAAGUCAAACCUGUUUAGUAAAGAAGGCAAAGUAUAUUUUAGAGGUUGAAAACCGUAGUUCGUACAUGGAUGAGACAGACCAGUAUUCAAGCUGUCGUGCAGGGUAGUAGUGAAUGUUGGUGUGUAGGUUAGCAACAUUGGAUAAAAAUAAUGUGCCAUGUUCAAUCUGCGAUUGGUCUAGCUGUAAAAGAAGGUAAUUGUACAUGUUGGAUAAACGCAUGAUGCGAUAGGUUGCAAACAGUGGUUUGAAAUGUCAACUGUAACGCGGGCAGCAAUUGCGCUAAGCGAAUUCUUCUGCAUAACUAAGAGCUUCACGAUGUUUCUUUCACCGCACUUCUCACAUAGGCAUGCGAUGUCCUUUCUUUUCUUUUUCAUCGGUGCCGAAAAUGAACCGCUCGAGAUCGACAUGGACAUGGUCUCGUCCUGGCCGCAUCUGCCGGGAAAAGACUAUGCUGGUCUUUCGUGCAUCAUCGGGUCAUGCAUCAGGGCAACACGGUGGUCUGCUGUACGAGUCAGGCUGGCGAGCGGCUCCCUGUCUUGCAGCCUGCACUGCGGACCUGGUAGCCAGCUGUUUGAGCAGGCCUUUGUCUUGAUGCCCACCCUGUGGAUCUACUGACCAGCUGAUCCCACGACAUGGUACCUCGGUGUCCGCCCUGCUGACCUUGUUUCCAGCUGUUCUAGCUGAUCGAUGUCUUGCUACGCGCCCUGCAGACUUGGUGGUCAGCUGUUCUGGCCUCCUCCUAAGCUGCUGAUCGCAAGAACACGCGUUCGUUAAGGAAUCACAGGAUAUUCCUGUGGCUCGUGGUCUGAACAAGGCGGGGACGGACAGCCGGGCCAAGCUACGUUUCCCAGCAGACGAGAUCGACAUGGUCGUGACCUGCAACGCAUCUGCAACGCAAAGACGGUGCUGGCGUUUCGUGCGUCAUCGCCUGGCCAAGCGUCAGUGCAGCGGGGUGGUCUACUGUACGAGUCAGACCGGCAAGUUGACCUGGUGGUCAGGCGUUCUAGCAGCCUGGUGUUCCUGAUGUCCGCCCUGCAGAUCUGGUGGCCAGCUGAUUUACCGACGUGGAACCUCUAUGCCCACCCUGUUGACCUGGUGGUCAGGUGCUCUAGUAGCCUCGAGUAUUGAUGCCCGCCGUGCGGAUCUGGUGACCAGCUGUUCUAUAGGACAUCGCCGUGGCUCUUGGUUCAAAGAACGCGGGGACGGACAGCCGGGCCUAGUUCCGCUUCCUAGCAGACGAGGUCGACCUGACUUCUUUAGCAGCGAGGUGAACAUCUCCUGCAGCAUGCUCAUGUCAAGCCACAUGUAGCAGCUGCGAGCAACGUACGUGACACAGUGUUCAUGUCACUGGCAAGGCUGCAGCACACUGUUGACCUCGCGCAGCCGGAUGCUCCAUUUUGGAUGUCGGUUGGCCAGGAUGUCCAGCAAGAUCGAACCUUCUUGCUCAGCAUUUCUAAGUGCAAAGUUCCAGAGCAGCGUGCUCACCGGAAGUUCUCCGGAGGAUCCGGAUGCUCACCGGAGGAUCUGCCCACCACGGACUUCGGAGAAUCCCUUGAUCUGAAGCAACCUGGUGCGCGAGCCACCGAGCAGCCGCUGACCCAGACUGAAGAGGUUCAGCUCGAACGCCAGGUUUCGAACUUACGUCAGAGCGGCCACUUUCACUGUCAUGACGACGUGGCCAUUCGCACCGUUUUUGAAAAUUACGACAAGCGCUUGGUUCCGCACACACAAAAAUAAAGUCUGAAAACACCGCAGGCCAAAAGGCCAGAAGACGACGAUGAUGGCGACGUGUAACGCCCAUGACGUGCAAGAUGCCUUACACUUCACGUACCACGACUCGAACUAAUAAGUGUCUGAGGGGCACGUCCUGGGUAGCUUGAGGGCCGGAGGAAUGCUUUUGCUGGUGUACGAAUGGUUAAGAGCUCCGAAAUAAAGUUAGUGUGUGG